This is a long non-coding RNA of Peromyscus eremicus (cactus mouse), 1429 nucleotides long. RefSeq lists it as uncharacterized. The record is from RefSeq and is a predicted model, not a curated record. Lineage: Eukaryota; Metazoa; Chordata; Mammalia; Rodentia; Cricetidae. The transcript is spliced from 3 exons.
GAGGUCCUCAGGGGAGGGGCCUGGCCACUGGAGGGGCUCAAGGACCUUCCAUGUACGGUAUUUACAGCAUUUCUACUUUGUUUUUGUUUUGUUUUGAGACAGGGUCUCUCUACAUAGCCCUGGCUGUCCUGGAACUCACUAUGUAGACCAGGCUGGCCUCCAACUCAUAGGGAUGCACCUGCCUCUGCUUCUCUAGUGCUGGGAUCAAAGAAGGAUUCAAAGAAGAUUAACCUGGAUUAACUUUCCACUUCAAUGGAACUGAGAUUAGCACAGACCAUGAAAGUCAUGAUCAGAAGCACAGAGGACAAAGGAGAAAGAAGGUAGCUGGAAAAGACAAGAGACUAUCACCAGGAAGUCCUUGCAGCAGAGGGUGUUGAGUGUCCCCAAGGAAAGGCUUCAGCAAAAGCCUUGGAAGCUUCAUGCUGGUCUAGACUGUCCCUGAAAAGCAGGGAAGGUGACUCUGGACUCCCCUGCAGGGAGGAACACACUCCCUGGGCAAGUUGCUGUCUCACUCCAGACAGCACAUUUCAGCUGCUCCUGCUAUACCGUCUCUUUUCGGAAAUAUGAAGGCUUGCUAUAGAGGAACAGGCCUGUGAUGGCCACAGCAACCAAGAUCAGGGAGAAGAUAACCAUGAGGCUGAUGUAGGUGGAGUGAGGGAGAGGCGGAGAUAAUGGCUGUUCAGCUGGGAUCAUGUUGGUCAAGUUCAGCAUGUAGCCCAAAGUCCACCCUGCGUUGCUGUCCUCGAUCUGAAAAAAGUAGGGAAAAUCUUAUUGUUCAUGAUCCAAAAAGAUAAUCUAUAUUAUUCAUGUAACCCUACCCAGAACACUGAGCAGCCAAUAGGAAGAGAACACUUUGUGUAGUUCACACAAUAGAUUAACUUUAUACCCUACAUUGGGAAUGAUGUGGGGGAGGGGGAAUCAAAGCAAAUGAUUAAAAUAGAGUUUGGAGCCUCACCAUUAUAUUCUACAAGUUCAGGAAGUUUCCUGAACGGCUGUCUGGUUCACCUGCCUGCGAGCACUUAAUUCAAAGAGACCGUGAGAGAGGUCUACAUUCUUUCUAUUUCACAAUAGGGAACUAAGUGAGAGGUGACAGGAAAUAGGUAAAAAGAUGAGGGAAUAAUGAUUAGCUAGUGCCUUUUACAUCCUUGCCGGGCCAGAGAAGCCACAUAGACCCAGGACCUCAUGGGAGAAAACUGGGAGAAAUAAUUCCAGCAAGCCAACUUUAUGAAGUUGGAAGGCUGUGUGCCUCACUGCUGAUAAAGGAUUCUUAUUAAAUUAUAAGACAUUUCCUGGCCUUCUCGCCUUUGGAAAAAAUAAUUUCCAGUCACUCAGAACUUACAGUAAUAUAGGUGAUACUCGAAUAAUAAUUUUGGAAAGGUUCUAUUAUAAGAGCUGUUCAUGAUGACACAGAGAAUUAGCAAGCACAGGC